GACAGAGGGUGCAAACGUUGUUCGGAAUUACUGGGCGUAAAGCGCGUGUAGGCGGCCCUGCAAGUCGGAUGUGAAAUCCCACGGCUCAACCGUGGAAGUGCAUUCGAAACUGCAGGGCUAGAGGACUGGAGAGGAGACUGGAAUUUCCGGUGUAGCGGUGAAAUGCGUAGAUAUCGGAAGGAACACCAGUGGCGAAAGCGGCUUCCUGGUCCAGCACCGACGUUCAGGCACGAAAGCGUGGGGAGCAAACAGG
Molecule: ribosomal RNA, 253 nt
Filed under: uncultured bacterium
Lineage: Bacteria
Description: partial 16S ribosomal RNA
Rfam family: Bacterial small subunit ribosomal RNA
Source: RNAcentral